AGUUGCUUCCAAUACUGGACCUGCACAACAAAGAACAGGCUCAGCCACCAGAUAUAUGUUUGCCACAUGGAAAUUUGGACAGCAGAUCAGAGGAAAUAUCCAGAAAGUUCCAUCAGGACCCAAUCCCAUUGGAAAUCGGCACCCACCAUCCUACCCAUGAAAUGAUAGAGGGCUUGCGCUAUGUUUAGUAAGUAGAAUUGAUAAUGCCCAUGUUCUCUUUCUUCUGUAAUUGAAGAUGGUAGACCAUAGAAUAUUGCAUAUUUUAAGGUCAUGAUUUCCAGUAUAUUGUACUUGCAUUUGCAGAAGGAUGAUUUUUGUUCUUAGAUUAACAUAAAAAAUGAUCUUGAGAUCAGAGA
This is a long non-coding RNA of Vitis riparia (riverbank grape), 356 nucleotides long. RefSeq lists it as uncharacterized. The transcript has 2 exons. Lineage: Eukaryota; Viridiplantae; Streptophyta; Magnoliopsida; Vitales; Vitaceae. The record is from RefSeq and is a predicted model, not a curated record.